This 255-nucleotide ribosomal RNA is filed under the name uncultured bacterium. RNAcentral's name for it is "partial 16S ribosomal RNA". It matches the Rfam family "Bacterial small subunit ribosomal RNA", at positions 524 to 776 of the family's 1533-position model. The record is from RNAcentral.
UACGGUUGGAGCAAGCGUUGUUCGGAUUUACUGGGCGUAAAGGGCGCGUAGGCGGUCGUGCCAAGUCACUUGUGAAAUCUCCGGGCUUAACCCAGAACGGUCAGCUGAUACUGCGGGGCUAGAGUGCAGAAGGGGCAACUGGAAUUCUCGGUGUAGCGGUGAAAUGCGUAGAUAUCGAGAGGAACACCUGCGGCGAAGGCGGGUUGCUGGGCUGACACUGACGCUGACAGCGCGAAAGCUAGGGGAGCGAACGGG